Molecule: ribosomal RNA, 498 nt
Filed under: uncultured bacterium
Lineage: Bacteria
Description: partial 16S ribosomal RNA
Rfam family: Bacterial small subunit ribosomal RNA
Source: RNAcentral
GACGAACGCUGGCGGCGUGCCUAAUACAUGCAUGUCGAACGAGAGCGACCGGUGCUUGCACUGGUCAAUCUAGUGGCGAACGGGUGAGUAACACGUGGGUAACCUGCCCAUCAGAGGGGGAUAACAUCCGGAAACGGAUGCUAAAACCGCAUAGGUCUUCGAACCGCAUGGUUUGAAGAGGAAAAGAGGCGCAAGCUUCUGCUGAUGGAUGGACCCGCGGUGCAUUAGCUAGUUGGUGAGGUAACGGCUCACCAAGGCCGUGAUGCAUAGCCGACCUGAGAGGGUGAUCGGCCACAUUGGGACUGAGACACGGCCCAAACUCCUACGGGAGGCAGCAGUAGGGAAUCUUCCGCAAUGGACGCAAGUCUGACGGAGCAACGCCGCGUGAGUGAAGAAGGUUUUCGGAUCGUAAAACUCUGUUGUUAGAGAAGAACAAGUGCUAGAGUAACUGUUAGCGCCUUGACGGUAUCUAACCAGAAAGCCACGGCUAACUACGUG